Molecule: ribosomal RNA, 484 nt
Filed under: uncultured bacterium
Lineage: Bacteria
Description: partial 16S ribosomal RNA
Rfam family: Bacterial small subunit ribosomal RNA
Source: RNAcentral
AUUGAACGCUGGCGGCAGGCCUAACACAUGCAAGUCGAGCGGAUGAAGGGAGCUUGCUCCUGGAUUCAGCGGCGGACGGGUGAGUAAUGCCUAGGAAUCUGCCUGGUAGUGGGGGAUAACGUCCGGAAACGGGCGCUAAUACCGCAUACGUCCUGAGGGAGAAAGUGGGGGAUCUUCGGACCUCACGCUAUCAGAUGAGCCUAGGUCGGAUUAGCUAGUUGGUGGGGUAAAGGCGUACCAAGGCGACGAUCCGUAACUGGUCUGAGAGGAUGAUCAGUCACACUGGAACUGAGACACGGUCCAGACUCCUACGGGAGGCAGCAGUGGGGAAUAUUGGACAAUGGGCGAAAGCCUGAUCCAGCCACGCCGCGUGUGUGAAGAAGGUCUUCGGAUUGUAAAGCACUGUUAGUUGGGAGGAAGGGCAGUAAGUGAAUACCUUGCUGUUUUGACGUUACCAACAGAAUAAGCACCGGCUAACUUCGUG